This is a long non-coding RNA of Anguilla rostrata (American eel), 2005 nucleotides long. RefSeq lists it as uncharacterized. Lineage: Eukaryota; Metazoa; Chordata; Actinopteri; Anguilliformes; Anguillidae. The transcript has 3 exons. The record is from RefSeq and is a predicted model, not a curated record.
AACUUACAUGUGCAGCUAGCUAGCGUUAGCUAUUGACUCGAGUGUGUAUGCACAGUUUCUUCACCGGCAAAAGAUGGCGGAUUGGCUGUAAAUCAGAUAAUUUGACGUCACCUUCUUGUUGCGGUUGUUUUGGGGCGAAGCAAAGACUCAUUAUUUAACAAUACAGUCGUGUGGGGAUUUGAUCAAAUGAUUGCCUGAACGCGUAACACAUUUUAAGUUGCUCUUUUCUUUUAACGAAGAAAAACGAAAUAGGGGAAAUUGUGGCAGUGCGUUCGGAAAGAAUCCAUUUUCAUUGCAUUUAAAAAGAAGGCAGCGGUGAACUCCACUCUGUAGGUUACUGGACUGCCUUGCAGCUUCUCUGGGACAUCCCACUCCAGGCUGAUGCUCUGCAUGGUGCUAUUGACAACCUGAAGGUUUUCUGGCUUGAUUGGCACUGAGGAGGGCAACGUUUCACAUGUCAGACCUCGCAAAUGAUGGCGAAGCAGGGAAAAUGCUGGUGGAGUUAAAUGAAAGAACUAAAUGGGAAGGAAUGGGUAUAUAAUUCAAUGGGAGCCUAUCUCAUACGCAGGGCUACAGAAGACAGGUGAGUGAGUUAAAUGCAUAAAGUUAUUUUAUUAUUUUUAGUGGUUGCUUUUUGAAAUUAUUCCAACAUUACUACAUCUUUGUUGUUUGGGAGAUGUAUUAAUUCAUUGAUAUUCAUUUAACUGAAAUACCUUUUAAUAGUGAUGUGCAAAAAUAAAUUUCUCAAUACAAAACCUGUGUAAUAUAAGACCUAUUAGGACCUAGUUAUCCAUACAAUUUUCGCUUAUACAGUGAAAUUAUUGCAUUAUUAAUUAUGGCCAGAGAUGAAUAAUUAAUCCCUCGUCAACCAUGGCCCCCCAUGCUUAACCAUGAAAAUCUGCUUUUGUUUUUUCUGAGUGAAGUUGAUGAGAGAGUGAUUCCUAUACAAAUACAUUAGACUUCCCAAAUAAAUUCCUACAUUGACUAUAAGGAAGGACAUACCUGUAAAGAUAAAUAAAUGUAUUUUGUGUUUGUGUGUGUGUGUGUGUGUGUGUGUGUGCGUGCAUGCGUGCGUGCGUGUUAAGAGCCCACAGCUGGAACUCACAGGUAAAUAUCCAUUUGGAUACACCAUCACUCUGCCGGGAUUUCUGCAUCAACUCUGUGUAGAUGGUUACAGUAUAAUUAACAGCUGAAUUCAGGUUUUGAAAUGUGUGAAAUGUUUCAUUGGUGGUGGCCUCAAUGAAAUUUCCUUGUUCGAGCUUGAGUCGAUAGAAGUCAAAGUUUCCAUCUGGGGGAUCCCACCUAGCCAUGAUACAGUCAUUGGAACUGUUCAAAAUCAGAUUUUUCACAGGGGAUGGUUCUGCAGUGGAGAGACAGAAAGAGAGGGGGAGAGAAAUCAAAUGUGAAAUUCCAGUGGCCAUUACAUCACUGCACAUCUGUGAAUGACUAAUCUGUGUACUUGCGUCAUUGUCUUUCAGUCAGUCUUUGAAUCCUAUUGAUCAGUCUCUGUCUGUUUGUACUUGUGUUUAAAUCAGAACUCACUGGAAUAAUACAUGAUUGUAAAAGCCUCUCCCUCCACUGAGUCAUUUGGCAUCGCCCCUGCUCGUGCUGCCACGCUCAGCUGAAACUCUGUGCCCGCAGUGAGAUUUUUCACUGUAAGAUUGGUGCCAACCAAGGUUUGAUUCAAAAGAAUUUUCCUUGUCUUCCCCUGUUGGACAUGUACUCUGUAGCAACAGCUGCUUCCCUCUGGCGGCAUCCAUGUUAACAUGAUGGUAUCCAUAGUGACCUCAUUGGCAGUCAAUUCCCUUACCUUAUCUGGUACUGGAAUAAAGGAAAGAGAAUAAUGACAUUAUGUCAGGGAACACACUUGCAUGCAACAUCAUACUGUACUAAUGUUGACCGGAUUUGGCUUUUAAGUAUAACUGCACAAUGGAUAGUGGAAACCGCCAAGAUCAAAGACAAGCCAAUUAAUGUAAUCAGUCAAUAAAUUUGGAGAUGUAUAUCA